RNAcentral lists this ribosomal RNA (495 nucleotides) under uncultured bacterium. RNAcentral describes it as "partial 16S ribosomal RNA". It matches the Rfam family "Bacterial small subunit ribosomal RNA", at positions 28 to 507 of the family's 1533-position model. The record is from RNAcentral.
GAUGAACGCUGGCGGCGUGCCUAAUACAUGCAAGUAGAACGCUGAAGGAGGAGCUUGCUCUUCUUGAUGAGUUGCGAACGGGUGAGUAACGCGUAGGUAACCUGCCUGGUAGCGGGGGAUAACUUAUGGAAACGAUAGCUAAUACCGCAUGACAACAGUUAUUGCAUGAUAACUGUUUAAAAGGGGCAACUGCUCCACUACCAGAUGGACCUGCGUUGUAUUAGCUAGUUGGUGAGGUAACGGCUCACCAAGGCGACGAUACAUCUCCUACCUGAGAGGGUGAUCGGCCACACUGGGACUGAGACACGGCCCAGACUCCUACGGGAGGCAGCAGUAGGGAAUCUUCGGCAAUGGACGGAAGUCUGACCGAGCAACGCCGCGUGAGUGAAGAAGGUGUUCGGAUCGUAAAGCUCUGUUGCAAGAGAAGAACGAGGGUGAGAGUGGAAAGUUCACACUGUGACGGUAUCUUACCAGAAAGGGACGGCUAACUACGUG